GCACUGAACAAGCGAGAGGAAGGAAAGCUUCCAAGCCAACCAGUGAGUAAUCCUAGGGGACAAUACAUGGCUCAAGAAAAUCAACUAAAUACAAUUCAUCAUGAACAAGCCAAUGCAUUGACUACUCUAAGGAGUGGACGUGUAGUAGACAAUAAGAUUGGGGAGGAUAACAAUAAGAAAGGUGAAGAAGAGGAUAGAAAUAAGUCAAAUGAAAAUCUAAAACCUUCUUCUUCU
Molecule: long non-coding RNA, 234 nt
Filed under: Phoenix dactylifera (date palm)
Lineage: Eukaryota; Viridiplantae; Streptophyta; Magnoliopsida; Arecales; Arecaceae
Description: long non-coding RNA (PDAC_LNC013063)
Source: RNAcentral